This 510-nucleotide ribosomal RNA is filed under the name uncultured bacterium. Its description in RNAcentral is "partial 16S ribosomal RNA". It matches the Rfam family "Bacterial small subunit ribosomal RNA", at positions 28 to 507 of the family's 1533-position model. The record is from RNAcentral.
GACGAACGCUGGCGGCGUGCUUAACACAUGCAAGUCGAACGAAGAGCGAUGGAAGCUUGCUUCUAUCAAUCUUAGUGGCGAACGGGUGAGUAACGCGUAAUCAACCUGCCCUUCAGAGGGGGACAACAGUUGGAAACGACUGCUAAUACCGCAUACGAUCUAAUCUCGGCAUCGAGGAUAGAUGAAAGGUGGCCUCUACAUGUAAGCUAUCACUGAAGGAGGGGAUUGCGUCUGAUUAGCUAGUUGGAGGGGUAACGGCCCACCAAGGCGAUGAUCAGUAGCCGGUCUGAGAGGAUGAACGGCCACAUUGGGACUGAGACACGGCCCGGACUCCUACGGGAGGCAGCAGUGGGGAAUCUUCCGCAAUAGACGAAAGUCUGACGGAGCAACGCCGCGUGAGUGAUGACGGCCUUCGGGUUGUAAAGCUCUGUUAAUCGGGACGAAAGGCCUUCUUGCGAAUAGUGAGAAGGAUUGACGGUACCGGAAUAGAAAGCCACGGCUAACUACGUG